Long non-coding RNA from Spodoptera litura, 1018 nucleotides. RefSeq lists it as uncharacterized. The record is from RefSeq and is a predicted model, not a curated record. Lineage: Eukaryota; Metazoa; Arthropoda; Insecta; Lepidoptera; Noctuidae.
UAGAUUAAAAUCACUUUGAUCAAACCGUUGCUUUUUAUUUAUUGAUGUUUUUGUAGUUAGUUUGGGAUUAUUUCACUAAAACCUAAAAUAUUGAAUAUCUCAGAAACUAACCAUUUUCGGACUAGCAACCUCAAGGCUAAUUUUGUAGGAAAUUAAUUGUAUUAUCACCUUCUUAGAAGAAUACAUCGAGUUACAAGUCACCCUGUAUUAUUUACACAUGUAUAUAACGAAGAAAACAAAACGAUUAUCCUCAUUUGACUUUAUAUAUAUAGCAAAGUGUUACAGAGUUUAUUUAUUAUACUUUAGUCUUUUAUAACACUGAAGAGGUUGUUUGUUUAAACGGGCUAAUCCCCAAAACUACUGGCUCAAUUUCAAUAAUUAUUUUUAUGUCGAAUAGUGCAUUUAUCAAGGAAGAGUAUAGGCUGUAAAACGUCACACUGUAAUAAAUACUAGCUAGUAAUUACAAUGAGACUAUUAUAUAUUUUACUAGGUUUAUAUAUGCUCUUUUGUGUCUCAACAACGAAAGGAGCAAAGCGAUGGCGACUGAAUGGAAUAUUCCAUGGGUUCGGGAAUGCCGGUGUACCAGCAUCAGAAGUAUUGGCAAUAUAUAAUAAUGCUCUUCCAAAACCAAAAACCAGGCUUUGGUCUUAGUAGACAUACAUAAAGCCUUCUCACCACAGCAAAUAAUGGAUAUUUAUUACAAAAACGUAAAUGCAACAGCGAUAAGGAAACUAUGAGAGGAUUCUGGUAAUCCAUAUCAUGUAUAAACAUGACCAGAACCUGUUUUUAUGGAAAUCACUCGCAGGAAUAUAAAUUCGGAGCUACCGUUUUUGCUCGUUAGGUGGCAGUAAUAUAUGCAUAAGAUCUUUUUUGAGGAAGGAAAACCAACAAAUACUCUUCUACUUAAUAUAUCAAAAUUGAAUAUACAAUAGUUGGGCAAUACCUACCUGGGAUAAACAGCCACUACGCUACAUAAGCGCCAUCUACAUGAGCACAUACAAACGGUAGCAACCAUUAA